UACGAAGGGGGCUAGCGAUGUUCGGAAUCACUGGGCGUAAAGCGCACGUAGGCGGAUUUGUAAGUCAGGGGUGAAAUCCCGGGGCUCAACCUCGGAACUGCCUUUGAUACUGCAAGUCUUGAGUUCGGGAGAGGUGAGUGGAAUUCCUAGUGUAGAGGUGAAAUUCGUAGAUAUUAGGAAGAACACCAGUGGCGAAGGCGGCUCACUGGCCCGAUAAUGACGCUGAGGUGCGAAAGCGUGGGGAGCAAACAGG
RNAcentral lists this ribosomal RNA (253 nucleotides) under uncultured bacterium. RNAcentral's name for it is "partial 16S ribosomal RNA". It matches the Rfam family "Bacterial small subunit ribosomal RNA", at positions 524 to 776 of the family's 1533-position model. The record is from RNAcentral.